GUGCUCACUUUGGCAGCACAUACACUAAAACUGGAACGAUACAGAGAAGAUUUGCUUGGCUCAUGCACGAGGAUGACUCACAAAUUUGUGAAGUGUUCCAUAUUUUU
Small nuclear RNA from Psammomys obesus (fat sand rat), 107 nucleotides. Lineage: Eukaryota; Metazoa; Chordata; Mammalia; Rodentia; Muridae. The record is from RefSeq and is a predicted model, not a curated record.